GGGUAUUUGGUCUAGUGAUUUGAUUCUUCCUUUGGGUGCAAGAGGCCGCGAGUUCGGUCCUCUCAAUGCCCC
This is a non-coding RNA of Marchantia paleacea, 72 nucleotides long. Lineage: Eukaryota; Viridiplantae; Streptophyta; Marchantiopsida; Marchantiales; Marchantiaceae. The record is from the annotation of a GenBank genome assembly.